Molecule: long non-coding RNA, 481 nt
Organism: Xenia sp. Carnegie-2017
Lineage: Eukaryota; Metazoa; Cnidaria; Anthozoa; Malacalcyonacea; Xeniidae
Exons: 2
Source: RefSeq, a predicted model, not a curated record
UUAAAGAUUGAUUUGGCUAUCAAAAUUAAAAAUUAAAUGCAAAAAUUUUGCUUUUCGUAUAUGCAAAAUAAGAAAAUUUUGACUGAUACAAUUGGAUCAGUAUUAUGGGUCUUAGUCCAAGUGUUAGUACACAAAUUAUAACUACCAAUUUUCAGUUUAAAAUACCCUUCAUAACAAGGUCAUUGGUGAUGAAUUUCAAGAGACAGCUCAGGAAGACGACUUUGCUGUGAUCCAGGACUCUUGUGACUUAGUUAAACAGAAGUAGAAGGAAGAAAGAAAAAAGAUGGAGAAGAACUAAGGGUGUAUUGAAGGGGAAGCGAUUUUGAAAAUUGUAUGUCAAGUUUUGCAGUGGUAAUAUAUAUACCAGUAUUGUUCAUAUUUAUAUCAGACGGCCACUUGUUAAAACUUUUAGUAGACUGCUGAAAAGAACUUAUAAGUCUGAUAAAGAUGAAGCAGAAAUAAAUAAAAUGAAAAAUUUGAA